Molecule: non-coding RNA, 234 nt
Organism: Musa acuminata subsp. malaccensis (wild Malaysian banana)
Lineage: Eukaryota; Viridiplantae; Streptophyta; Magnoliopsida; Zingiberales; Musaceae
Source: RefSeq, a predicted model, not a curated record
CCUCCGUCUUCGCCAAAUCAUCAUGCUAAGUGCUCCGAGAUAUACACAAUCCCUCAGGGUGUCAUCCAAUUUGAUCCUCUCUCUUGAUUCAAUAUCAAGUUGGACCCGUUUCUUGGAUUUCCUCGCGUCAUUGGUCGGUUGACGUCGACCUCUCCGACGAAGAGAGCGAGCGCCGCCUUCAUAACAGGUUAUUGUGUAGGAGCAGGCAAAGGGGGUUCCUUGAAUUGGAAUUGG